Molecule: non-coding RNA, 65 nt
Organism: Drosophila simulans
Lineage: Eukaryota; Metazoa; Arthropoda; Insecta; Diptera; Drosophilidae
Source: Rfam
AAAUUUUUAUUCUCUUUGAAAUUUGUCUUGGUGGGACCCUUUGUCUAGGCAUUGAGAGUUCCCGU